This 210-nucleotide ribosomal RNA is filed under the name Triticum aestivum (bread wheat). RNAcentral's name for it is "partial small subunit ribosomal RNA". The record is from RNAcentral. Lineage: Eukaryota; Viridiplantae; Streptophyta; Magnoliopsida; Poales; Poaceae.
AUGCCUGGAGGUAGGACUGCCCACUCGAGGUUCAAGAUCCCAUUAAGCUGCGACGACGGCGCCUCAUGCACCUUCACGAAGCAGAGUGGUACCGCCAAGCUACUGAGGAUGGCCUCAUUGAUACUAUGGGAUGAGGCCACCAUGACUAAGCGACAGGCGGUCGAGGCACUGGACAACAGCAUGCGCGACAUCAUGGGAAGACGAGACUGA